RNAcentral lists this ribosomal RNA (544 nucleotides) under uncultured bacterium. RNAcentral describes it as "bacterial SSU rRNA". It matches the Rfam family "Bacterial small subunit ribosomal RNA", at positions 355 to 896 of the family's 1533-position model. The record is from RNAcentral.
UGAGGAAUAUUGCGCAAUGGUCGAAAGGCUGACGCAGCGACGCCGCGUGAGGGAUGAAGUCCGUUAGGAUGUAAACCUCUUUUGCAGGGGGUGAACCCGCCGCUACAGGCGGCGGAUGACCGUACCCUGCGAAUAAGGAUCGGCUAACUACGUGCCAGCAGCCGCGGUAAUACGUAGGAUCCGAGCGUUGUCCGGAAUUACUGGGUGUAAAGGGCGUGUAGGUGGGUCUUUAAGUCGGUGGUGAAAUCUUGCGGCUCAACCGCAAAACUGCCGUCGAUACUGGGGACCUUGAGUGCGGAAGAGGGAAAUGGAAUUCAUGGUGUAGCGGUGAAAUGUGUAGAUAUCGGGAGGAACACCAGUGGCGAAGGCGGCCUUCUGGGCCGUUUCUGACGCUCAGACGCGAAAGCUAGGGGAGCAAACGGGAUUAGAAACCCCGGUAGUCCUAGCCGUAAACGAUGUAGACUUGGUGUCGGGGGUGUAAAAACUUCCGGUGCCGAAGCUAACACGAUAAGUCUACCGCCUGGGGACUACGGCCGCAAGGUUA